This 590-nucleotide ribosomal RNA is filed under the name uncultured organism. Its description in RNAcentral is "SSU rRNA". It matches the Rfam family "Eukaryotic small subunit ribosomal RNA", at positions 564 to 1159 of the family's 1831-position model. The record is from RNAcentral.
GUGCCAGCCGCCGCGGUAAUUCCAGCUCCAAUAGCAUAUAUUAAAGUUGUUGCGGUUAAAACGCCCGUAGUUGGAUCAGCGGAUUUGGAGAACGGUCUGCCGAUGGGCUGUACUGUUCUCCUGUCCUAUUUUCUCUAGUUCGCUCUAGGUGCUCUUCACUGAGUGUCUAGAGUGGCUGGAACUUUUACUUUGAAAAAAUUAGAGUGCUCAAAGCAGGCGUCUCAGCCUGAAUAGUGGUGCAUGGAAUAAUGGAAUAGGACCUCAGUUCUAUUUUGUUGGUUUUCGGAGCAUGAGGUAAUGAUUAAGAGGGACAGACGGGGGCAUUCGUAUUGCGACGUUAGAGGUGAGAUUCUUGGAUCGUCGCAAGACGAACUACUGCGAAAGCAUUUGCCAAGAAUGUUUCCAUUAAUCAAGGACGAUAGUUAGAGGUUCGAAGGCGAUCAGAUACCGCCCUAGUUCUAACCGUAAACGAUGUCAACCAGCGAUCCGCAGGAGUUAUUCAUGACUCUGCGGGCAGCUUCCGGGAAACCAAAGUUUUUGGAUUCCGGGGGGAGUAUGGUUGCAAAGCUGAAACUCAAAGGAAUUGACGG